AAGCAACGAUACGCAGAGAGGAAGAACAUCUUCGUUAGUCUUUUGUCUGAUUAUAGAUUUAGAAAUCAAUCAAGAGAUAUCUUUCAGUACGAUCGUUCGUCGUCGAGUUCUACAACUAUCAUUCAUCUUUCAGUACGGAAUUAUAAUUUACUCGAGGAGGGACAAUUAACUCUGAGUGUCUGAGGAUAUAAUAUAUACCCUGAACACAAAACCAGAAAUUGUUGAAUAGAGGAGAGCAUUUGAAAUCUGUUAACAAGAUACACAAGAAUGGGAAGAUUCUUUAUCCUACUAGCAAUCUUUUUUGCUUUAAUGCUUGCAAUUUUCGAUUUGGGCCAUUGUUUCGCACCUUUUCCAGGCGAUUGUGGCGGUUGGGGAUGUCGUCAACAAAAACGUACUCAUGUGCACUCGAUCACAGGGUCUCACAGUAUCUGCGGCCAUAAUACACAGUGUCUGAGAACCAUGAAGAAACUUAUCACAUCUACAAAAUUUCGACAGCUAAAAGUGAGAAGAAAAGUCAUACGGGGUAGAAGAUACUAGCAAAACUUUAUCAUGAUCUACAGACGUUGUCGGUUGACAGGCGCGACACACUUACUAUGGUGCGCUUAUAAUAGCAUCAAUUUCCAACAAAGAUUUUGAAAAACUCUUGAACAAGGAUGAACUAUUAAACAAACAAAAAAAUAUAAAAUUCUGAAUCAGUUGAUGUUAAUACAAAAUUGAUAACGUUUGACGGGAGGAAUAAUCAAAACAAAGAAGUUCAGAAACGUCUCAUUCAACAAAUAAUACUCAGAUGUCGUAUGAUUCAAUUGUCUUUAAGACUGAAAUCAGCGAGAUCAGGGAACUUGACAACCAAAUUGAAGAGGUGAACACGAAGCUUGACAUUUAAAUACCAAAUCUGUUUAAAAAUAUAGUUGUUUCCAUAAUUCCUUUGUUUUCAGUUGUCAUGGUGGGCGCAAAAGAGAAACUGAGUAUUUUUACAGAUGUUUUAUUUAUGCCAAUCCGACAUCUGUUUACGAAACUUGUUUUUCCAAGCAAAAAAUCUUAAAUAUGCCAUCGAGAUGGAUUUCAAAACGUCCCUGUUAUUUUGAAACCAUUCAAAAGUGACAUUAUCCGACGUUUUAAGCGUGUAAUUUUGAUAAGUUGACGUGAAAAAGAUGUUUCUAAUUGAGAUGUUGGGACAAUUAUUAUUUCUGAAAUUAUUCCAUAACUGAAGUUGACGUGAGGUGUAAUUCCUUGACCACUCUGAACUAUCGAAGAUAAAAUGUUUAUGCAUUAAGAUGCAAAAACAUUGGCAAAAAUCAUUGUAUUUAAAUCGUUCUUGUAUAAAUUCAAUCGCACAGGGUAAAGUAUAUUGCUGUGAAUUCCAAUAACAUAUAUGAAUUCUCAAAA
This is a long non-coding RNA of Xenia sp. Carnegie-2017, 1386 nucleotides long. RefSeq lists it as uncharacterized. The record is from RefSeq and is a predicted model, not a curated record. Lineage: Eukaryota; Metazoa; Cnidaria; Anthozoa; Malacalcyonacea; Xeniidae. The transcript has 2 exons.